CUGGGAGUUAGCAAGCAAAUCAGUGGGACCUUUUGAUACAGGAGCCGAUAGGAGGGAGUUGGCUGGCUGUUUAUUCAGCGUUUUGUGGCGCGGGUUGUUAGUGGCGUCCGUGCAGCAGCUGCAGUUCACCUAAGUGAACAGAAUUAUCAUCUUCGCGGCGUCCGUGCACCAGUUAUAGUUCACCGAGGUUGGGCAUGACGUGCUGCAAUAUGUGGCAGUAGUGUGAGCGGCCCGGCCAGCGCUGUUGUCUC
This is a long non-coding RNA of Onychostoma macrolepis, 251 nucleotides long. RefSeq lists it as uncharacterized. NCBI's taxonomy places the organism in Eukaryota, Metazoa, Chordata, Actinopteri, Cypriniformes, Cyprinidae. The record is from RefSeq and is a predicted model, not a curated record. The transcript is spliced from 3 exons.